Molecule: small nuclear RNA, 96 nt
Organism: Monodelphis domestica (gray short-tailed opossum)
Lineage: Eukaryota; Metazoa; Chordata; Mammalia; Didelphimorphia; Didelphidae
Source: Ensembl
AAUAUAUUCUAAACUAAAAUUGGAGUGACCCAAAGAAGAUGAGUUUGACCCCAGGACAAGGAUGAUGUGCAAAUUCCUGAAGGGUUCUAUUUUUUU